Non-coding RNA from Leptonychotes weddellii (Weddell seal), 3582 nucleotides. NCBI's taxonomy places the organism in Eukaryota, Metazoa, Chordata, Mammalia, Carnivora, Phocidae. The record is from RefSeq and is a predicted model, not a curated record.
AGGUCUGAGCUGCUGCGAAAUUUCUCAAUCAAUCUGGAUCAUGGAAGGGCACUUCAACCACAGGUCCCCUUCUGUUGUUUUUCCACCACCAGUAAUUAUAAAAAACAAAAAAUCUUUGUUGCCAGGAUACUGGAGGAUCCUGUAUUAUCUACUGCUCUGGAUUUUCACAAAAAAUGAGGCUUAUCAUGCACCCAGAACCAUAAGAUAUUUUUAGAGACGGAACGAUCUUGAAAAUCAUACUGCCUAUAAUCUUCACAGGCAAGAAAGUCAGGCUUGGGGCAAGUGACAAGCCCCCAGGACUACAAAGCCCUCGCUCAACACUCCACGUGGCCUCUGGAUGACAGGACAGCUUGCCCUCUGCUUUGUAACACACAAAACUCUAAAAUGCAGGAACUUGACCGUGUCCACCUGGCUAGCAUCUCCAGCUGAGCCUUUCCUGGGGGGAUCUCCAGCUCCUGCCCAUCGUGACCCAGGGGAUGACAGAUUUGGUGCAGACUCUGUCCCAGCAGGUGUCUGGAAGAGGACGAAACAGAUUUACUUGAAACUUACGUGCCUCUGGGAGAAAGGCUGGAGGGCUGAGCCCCACCCCGCCCUUUGUAGAUCGGCCCUUAUCCUGCCCCAGAGGGCGAGUGGGCAAGCCUCCUGAGGACUGCUCUCUUGCCUCACAAGGAUCAAAAGACAGACGUGAUGUCGACUAUCACCCCAUCUUCCAGAUGAAGAAGCUGAGGCUCCCAAGAGGGAAUCAGCUGCUUGUGGUCACACAGUAUGUGAUCAACAGUGCCACGAGUUCAACCCAGGUCUUUCUGACUCCAGUCAUACCCAGCAUAGUGGAAUGACAGAGUCGAAACCCAGUAAACUGUGGGAGGGGAAGAGGAUGUUCUGGUGGUUUCUGCCUGGGCACCACGGAGGACAGAUGGCAGUGGGUAAGUCGGGGACAGGCAGGUGGGAGGAGGACCUUGGAACUAGUUUGGCUGGGAGCCAAAUGAAAACUUGACACCAACAAAAUACCAUGGGGUGGUGUUGACCAUCUGUAAUUAGAGCUACUGGCCCAAGGUUUAUGUCAAAGAUCGGGAGCUAGAAGUGUCCACGUGGUACAAAGGGAAGAUGUUUGUACGUAUAAGCAGGGUAGGAAAGCAAGGUGCAAACAGAAUUAUAGGAGCAUGGCUUGAGAGUUUAGAACAUGCCAGGCGCUGGGCUAGAUGCUUGUCAUGUCCUUAUGACCACCUGGGCAUGCUCCCACUGCUAUCUUUUGUUUCCAGGUGAGUAACAGAAGCCUGGGGACAUAAGUAGCUCACCUAAGGCCACACAGCCAGUAAUAGUGACCUUGUACCUCCAGCCAAAGUCAGCUUCCCGAGGGCAUCUAUUAGACAAAUACAGGACGGAUUCGCCUAAGAGGGGUUACAAAGUUGCAUCCCGGGAUUCUAGGCUCCUUACAUCUCUCUAUUUGCUUAUCUGUAUUCGGUCUAUAGUGAAUAUGCACUAUUUUUGUGAUAGGAAAAAAGUUUUAAUAAAGCAAAGAAGUAGAAGUGUAAAUUGGUAGGCUUUUUGGAAGACAAUUUGCGGACCUGCAUCAAAAGCUGAACAUUUGGCAUAUUUUUUGGACCCAACAAUUCCAUUUUUAGGAGAUAAUCAAAGAAACAGGGGAAGACUUCUGUAUAAAGAUGUUGAAAGCAGUAGAUUAGAGAAAAACUGGAAAUACCUCAAAUAUCCAACAGUAAGGGAUAGAGAUAGAUUUGGGCUCAGCUAUACAGUUAAAUUAAAAACUAGGUAGCAUCAAAAUGGCUCCUGCAAAUUGGCAUGAGUAUGUGAAGAGUGCUCAUGAUGCGUUAAUGCACGAGGAAAAUACACCAUAAAGCAUUACCUACCAAUUAGUCUCAUUUGGGUAAAAAGUACAUUUAUAGGAAAACAUUCAUUAAACUACUCAGCUUUUAAGAGAAGUAUCGAUGCAAAUAAUGAUUCAGUUUUAAUUGUGAUAAAUGAUCACUGGAAGAGUGUGCACUGACUGUGUGUGAUGGGGAGGAAAUCCAGCCUAAAAUUAGCAGGUGGCGCUUGAAGGGUAAGAAUUGGAAGGAUAUACACCAAAAUGCUUUGUGACUUGAAUUUUUCUUUUCAGUGAUCUGUAUUUUCUAAGAUUUUUUUCCUACAGGAAAAUUGGAUUACUUGGGGAGAAAUAUUUCCUUUCAAAUAACUUUUCAAAUGAAAAGGAAAAAAACAAGUGUGGAAGUAAGGAAAAGUGAAGAAUAUGCGUGUUCACGGACUUGUGGAGGAAAGACCUUCCAGAAGAGAGUCAGCAGCAUUGGCUACUCUGAAAGACCCAACAGGAUGAAGACCAAGAUAAAGAAAGGAGGAAGCCACUGAUGACCUUACAUUUCCUAUGGGAAACAUUUACUUAUUGUUCUUUGUCUCCAGCCACCUUCCUCUCUCAGCCCAGACCCACAUUUUCCCUCACCUUCUCCUGGAUGUCUUCCCCUGGCUUUUCUGUGGAUAGUUCAAACUUGGCACACCCCAGAACUGCCUACUCUUCACUCCAGCCCCCAAUCAGACAGACAGACAGACAGACACCACACUCAUUCACCUGUUCUCCCCAUCCUCCUCGGUUACACCACUAUCCUCCCAAACUGAGUAUCAUUCCAGAAUCAUUCCCUCCCUCUGCCUAUGCACAUAUAGCGGAUCCUUUAAAUAUCUCAUUGACUAAUCUCUCCUCUCUAACCUUGAGGCUACAGCCUUAGUCAGGCCUUCCUUAUCUCUUAUCUAGACCAACUCACCACUACCCUACCUACCAUCCUCCUACUCCUAACGCAUCCUCCACACCUUCACGGACUCUGAAUGCCUUUGGACCAUUUGACUCACACAAUACACUCUGCUCCCAUCCUCCCCAGAAUCAAGUCUAACUUCUUUAAAAUCUUACAAAUAAUGAAACAAGGAACAUCUGUGUAUAUAUAACUCACCUUAUUCAUUCAAGUUAUUUCUUCGGGAUAAAUCCGAAAUUGAGCAGUGAUCCCACCUGCCUGCCCCCAUUCUUCUCCAUCGAAAAAAAUCUUAAUACUUGUGCCCUGACUCUGCUUGUUUUUUUUUUUUUUCUUCUCUUUUAAGUCAGGUCCCAGUUAUUUUUUUAUUGAGGGAAAAUUAUUUUAAUUUUAAAGCGGUAUGUGUUUAACCAUUUCCCUCCCUCCAGUUUUUUGUUUGUUGUCAUUUUGCUUUUACACACAUAUUGCUUCAGGUUGUAGAAACAUUUUUCUGUCAGGCGUUUCGUGAGUUUUUCAAUGCAGCAAUCUCUCCCCAGGGAAUUCUUUUAAAAAGCAGGGCAGGGUUGGAUGGGAAGUUGGGCUUACCUUCCUUUAGGUGCUCCAAGUUAAGAGUAAAAGAAAAAAAAAAUAAUGCCGAGAGUGUCAUCUAUAUUGUAGUGAGUAAUUCAUUCUCCCUAGCCUAAUGAGCCACUUUCUUUUUUUAAUAAAGAAAAAUUUAGUAGGCAAGUUCCCUGGAUCUAGAGAUACCGCAGCUCUCCUUUGAACCGACUUUGAAUAGUUUGGGGCCAACUUUGGACUGCCUUGAAGUUUUCACAAGAAUAAAACCAUAGCUGAA